RNAcentral lists this ribosomal RNA (672 nucleotides) under Acinetobacter sp. Muzt-E02. Its description in RNAcentral is "bacterial SSU rRNA". It matches the Rfam family "Bacterial small subunit ribosomal RNA", at positions 50 to 716 of the family's 1533-position model. The record is from RNAcentral. Lineage: Bacteria; Pseudomonadati; Pseudomonadota; Gammaproteobacteria; Moraxellales; Moraxellaceae.
AACACAUGCAAGUCGAGCGGGGAAGGGUAGCUUGCUACCUGACCUAGCGGCGGACGGGUGAGUAAUGCUUAGGAAUCUGCCUAUUAGUGGGGGACAACAUUCCGAAAGGAAUGCUAAUACCGCAUACGCCCUACGGGGGAAAGCAGGGGAUCUUCGGACCUUGCGCUAAUAGAUGAGCCUAAGUCAGAUUAGCUAGUUGGUGGGGUAAAGGCCUACCAAGGCGACGAUCUGUAGCGGGUCUGAGAGGAUGAUCCGCCACACUGGGACUGAGACACGGCCCAGACUCCUACGGGAGGCAGCAGUGGGGAAUAUUGGACAAUGGGCGAAAGCCUGAUCCAGCCAUGCCGCGUGUGUGAAGAAGGCCUUUUGGUUGUAAAGCACUUUAAGCGAGGAGGAGGCUACUGAGAUUAAUACUCUAGGAUAGUGGACGUUACUCGCAGAAUAAGCACCGGCUAACUCUGUGCCAGCAGCCGCGGUAAUACAGAGGGUGCGAGCGUUAAUCGGAUUUACUGGGCGUAAAGCGUGCGUAGGCGGCUUUUUAAGUCGGAUGUGAAAUCCCUGAGCUUAACUUAGGAAUUGCAUUCGAUACUGGGAAGCUAAAGUUUGGGAAAGGAUGGUAGAAUUCCAGGUGUAGCGGUGAAAUGCGUAAANAUCUGGAAGAAUACCGAUGGG